CAUUCCCGUAUUCCCGCAUUCCCCAUUCCCGUAUUCCCCCAUUCCCGUAUUCCCCCAUUCCCGUAUUCCCGCAUUCCCCCAUUCCCGUAUUCCCGUUCCCUAUUUUAAAGAUAGCCAUACGAGUAACAUACAAUUACAUACGAGUACAUACGAGUAACAUACGAGUACACACGAGUAACAUACGAGUACACACGAGUAACAUACGAGUAAAUACGAGUACAUACGAGUACAUACGAGUAAAAUACGAGUACAUACGAGUAAAAUACGAGAAUUAGCACAUUUUCUUUAAAGUUUCUUUCACUUUCACACUU
Molecule: non-coding RNA, 311 nt
Organism: Paramuricea clavata
Lineage: Eukaryota; Metazoa; Cnidaria; Anthozoa; Malacalcyonacea; Plexauridae
Source: the annotation of a GenBank genome assembly